This 653-nucleotide ribosomal RNA is filed under the name uncultured bacterium. RNAcentral describes it as "bacterial SSU rRNA". It matches the Rfam family "Bacterial small subunit ribosomal RNA", at positions 9 to 677 of the family's 1533-position model. The record is from RNAcentral.
GAGUUUUGAUCCUGGCUCAGGACGAACGCUGGCGGCGUGCUUAACACAUGCAAGUCGAACGAUGAAGCAGAGCUUGCUCUGCCGAUUAGUGGCGAACGGGUGAGGAACACGUGAGAAACCUGCCCCAGACUCUGGGAUAACAAUUAGAAAUGAUUGCUAAUACCGGAUGACGUCGGAGAACCGCAUGGUUCACUGACGAAAGGAAAUCCGGUUUGGGAGGGUCUCGCGACCUAUCAGCUUGUUGGCGGGGUAAUGGCCCACCAAGGCGUCGACGGGUAGCUGGUCUGAGAGGAUGAUCAGCCACACUGGGACUGAGACACGGCCCAGACUCCUACGGGAGGCAGCAGUGGGGAAUCUUGCGCAAUGGGCGAAAGCCUGACGCAGCAACGCCGCGUGCGGGAUGAAGGCCUUCGGGCUGUAAACCGCUUUCAGCAGGAACGAAAAUGACGGUACCUGCAGAAGAAGGAGCGGCCAACUACGUGCCAGCAGCCGCGGUGACACGUAGGCUCCAAGCGUUGUCCGGAUUUAUUGGGCGUAAAGAGCUCGUAGGCGGUUUAGUAAGUCGGGUGUGAAAACUCUGGGCUUAACCCAGAGACGCCAUCCGAUACUGCUGUGACUUGAGUUCAGGAGGGGAGCGGGGAAUUCCUAGUGUA